This is a long non-coding RNA of Ictalurus punctatus (channel catfish), 2861 nucleotides long. RefSeq lists it as uncharacterized. The transcript is spliced from 6 exons. The record is from RefSeq and is a predicted model, not a curated record. NCBI's taxonomy places the organism in Eukaryota, Metazoa, Chordata, Actinopteri, Siluriformes, Ictaluridae.
UGUUCGAUAUCUUUGAGAGCAGAGUAUUUUUGUCAAUUUAAUUUUUUUUUUUACAAAUGAUCAAAAGGAUAAACAAUAAAGACAAUUUUGCCAAUAUUAGUGGAGGGCACUGUAUAUAUAAUAUAUAUAAAGUUUAACAUAAUUUGGAAUGUUAAUCAUUAAAAAAAUAUAUUUAAUUUGAUCAUAUUAUUAUAUAUGAACAUAUAUGAACAGGUAACUGCAGAGAUGUAUUGCAUGGUUUGAAUUUUAUUUUUAUUUUUAAAUAGUUGUUUAUCUUUUGGUAAACACAUCUGAGGUGAUCAUGUGAUUUGGUUUUCAGAUUGGUUGACGGUAACAGCUUUAGUAGCCGGGGGUUGUGCGCUUGUUUUAGUGUCACUUCUGGUUCUGUGGAGGUGUUUCUCCAAAAGGAAAGGUAGCACCGCCAAAAUACAGCACGAUUCAGCUGAAAAAGCAGGAUCUUCGGAUCUGUACACAUCGGUAUACAUCAACGAGACUCCAUCAGCUCCUCGACCAGCAGCUCCACAGCAGAUCCCAAAAGAUGGAUGUUACUAUCUGGCUACACAUCCAGGAAUCCAGAACAGGUGUUAACACACAUGUCCGUUUAUACUUUCAGUCUCAUUCCUACACUUUUUAUUGACUUUUUUUUGUUUGGGUAGGCAGCUAGAUAGAUAGAAUGAAGGGGGGUUUCAUGAAAAAGAUUUCAUGAUUAAGGAUCUACUAAGAGAUUUUCUUUGCUCAGUUCAAAUGCUCAGUUAUAUAAAAAAAUUGGUAAUUGUAAGUCUGCCAAAUGCUGUAAAUGCUUGGUCUCUAUAGAAAAGAUAAGUAUAAACAAACUUGUAAACAAGGCACUUAGAUAUUUUUGAAGUGUGAAAAAAGUGGGGAGGUGGCAGUUAAAAUGUGCCAUGAAGUAGUUCUACUACUACUACUACUACUACUACUACUACUACUACUACUACUACUACUAAUAAUAAUAAUAAUAAUAAUAGUAACAGUAACAGCAGCAACACAGGUUACUACCGCUAACAUUACAAAUAAUAAUGGAGUCCUAUAUCAGAGCUGGCCUUCCUAAUCAGUUUGUUGAGUUUCUUCUUGGCCUUGGCACCAAUACCAUUUCCCCAGCACACAAUAGCGUACAGCAAUGUAGAAAAGUGCACUGACUACAACCGGCAGACAAUGUGAGAGAGGCCUUUAGAUGCUCAGAAGUUACCCUGGGUUCCCUUGUAACCUCACAGACUCUUGCACAUCUUACUCUUGGAGAGAUCUUUGUUUGUCUCCACUCCUGGAGAGGGGAACAACGGUCUUAAAUUUCCUCCAAUUGCACACAAUCUGUGUGACUGUGGAUGGGUGGAGUCCAAACUCUUUAGAGAUGGUUUAUAACCUUUUCCAGCCUGAUGAGCUUCAACAACUCUUUUUCUGAGGUCCUCAGAAAUCUCCUUUGUUCAUGACAUGAUACACUUUCACAAACAUGUGUUGUGAAGAUCAGACUCUGAUAGAUCCCUGUUCUUUAAAUAAAACAAGACGCUCACUCACUCACUCACACCUGAUCAUCAUCCCACUGACUGAAAACACCUGACUCUAAUCUCAAAACUUUCAAGCACCACUGAAUGAAUGUAUUGAAUUUUAUUUUGUUUUUCAAAUAGUUGUUUAUCUUUUAGCAAGCUUCAGUACUGAGCUAGAAUGCUAACCCGCUAACCUGCUUGGCCUGUUCUUAUCUCGUGGAUUAUUUGUUUUGUUAGACAUACUCAUGCUCACUGUUUAUUUUACGUUAGUGCUUGUGCAAUUUUCAGCUCUGACAGUAGUGCAGCUGCAACUCACAGGUUUAUAUUAAUGUGUUCGCUCUAAUACAGUCAUGUGAAAAAAUAAGUACACCCCAUGGAAAUUGUUGGCUUUUUUGACAUAUUUGGACAAGCAAACAUUUGAUCAUCUUUGAAUCAGUACCUGUUAAUAAAGUAGAUAUACUUGGGAUUUAAAACAUGUUUUACAUUUUUUCAUCUGUAGUGUUGUUCACCUGCAUUAAAGCCUGACAGAAUCCGCAACCCGUUUAAGUCUUAUCAUUACCUCUACAUUCAGGUAGCACCGCCAAAGUACACCACGAUUCAGCUGAAAAAGCAGGAUCUUCGGAUCUGUACACAUCGGUAUACAUCAACGAGACUCCAUCAGCUCCUCGACCAGUUGGCCACCCCAGCAACUCACAAAGCCGGCAACUAGCUUGACCUCAUCCUCACAUGUAACUCACACAAAAUUAUUACUUGUUACUCCUCUCCACACCUCUUACCAUUUCUUUAUCCAGUUUUCUAUUUCUCUCCCCUCACCCCCUCACAGUCUUCAACCUCUAUCUCUAUCUCAUUUUGUGGCAAUCUUCGCUCCCUUUCCCCACUCACAAUUCUCUUCCAUUGUCACAACCUCACUUCCCUCUGAUAGCCUCCUCUCCUCACUGUCCUUAAACACCACAAUUGACAUUCUAUGUUUCACUCUAACAUCUUCGUUUUCAGUGACACUGACUUAAUUUACCUUCAACACGUGCAUUUGUUAUGGUUUUUGGCCCUGUCUCUGCCCCUGUAUUGUCACUGUUUGUUUCCCGUAUGUGUCAUCAUUAGUCUCAGCUGUUUUGUGUUUCAGCCCGAUUAUGUUUAGUACUUAAACCCCUCGUGUCCCUUUGUACUUAGCGAGUAUUAGGUGAGUUUCCGUAUACCAGGCGUUUGUUUCUUGCUUCAUGUGUUAUUGUUUGAUCUUGUUCUCACCCUCAUUCAUGAUUCCUGUUUUGUCAAUUGCUUGACCCAUUGCCUGUUAUUUGACCAUGCUAUUGUCUCAUGAUUUGGAUUUGUCAGCCUGCCUCUCUUUAUUAAAAGCUCUUAUCUGCA